Molecule: ribosomal RNA, 288 nt
Filed under: uncultured bacterium
Lineage: Bacteria
Description: partial 16S ribosomal RNA
Rfam family: Bacterial small subunit ribosomal RNA
Source: RNAcentral
GGAUUAGAAACCCGGGUAGUCCACGCCGUAAACUAUGAGAGCUAGCCGUCGGCAAGUUUACUUGUCGGUGGCGCAGCUAACGCAUUAAGCUCUCCGCCUGGGGAGUACGGUCGCAAGAUUAAAACUCAAAGGAAUUGACGGGGCCCGCACAACCGCGGUGGAGCAUGUGGUUUAAUUCGAAGCAACGCGCAGAACCUUACCAGCCCUUGACAUCCCGGUCGCGGUUACGAGAGAUCGUUUCCUUCAGUUCGGCUGGACCGGUGACAGGUGCUGUAUGGCUGUCGUCAG